This 741-nucleotide ribosomal RNA is filed under the name uncultured soil bacterium. Its description in RNAcentral is "bacterial SSU rRNA". It matches the Rfam family "Bacterial small subunit ribosomal RNA", at positions 49 to 763 of the family's 1533-position model. The record is from RNAcentral.
UAAGACAUGCAAGUCGAACGACGAUUAUGGGGUAGCAAUAUUCCAUGAUUUGAGUGGCGUAAGGGUGCGUAACACGUGGGCAAUCUGCCGUAAAACUGGGGAUAACUCGCUGAAAGGCGAGCUAAUACCGAAUGUGAUCCAAGUGGGGCAUCCCGCUUGAAUUAAAGCUGGGGACCGCAAGGCCUGGCGCUUUACGAUGAGCCUGCGGCCUAUCAGCUAGUUGGUGAGGUAAUGGCUCACCAAGGCGAAGACGGGUAGCUGGUCUGAGAGGACGACCAGCCACACUGGAACUGAGACACGGUCCAGACACCUACGGGUGGCAGCAGUCGAGAAUUUUUCUCAAUGGGCGAAAGCCUGAAGGAGCGACGCCGCGUGGGGGAUGAAUGGCUUCGGCCCGUAAACCCCUGUCAUUUGUGAACAAACGUUUCGGCCCAAUACGCCGGAACCUGAUAGUAACGAAAGAGGAAGGGACGGCUAACUCUGUGCCAGCAGCCGCGGUAAUACAGAGGUCCCAAGCGUUGUUCGGAUUCACUGGGCGUAAAGGGUGCGUAGGUGGUCGGAUAAGUCCGAUGUGAAAUCCCGGAGCUCAACUCUGGAACUGCAUUGGAUACUAUUCGACUAGAGGGUUGGAGGGGGGACUGGAAUUCUCGGUGUAGCAGUGAAAUGCGUAGAUAUCGAGAGGAACACCGGUGGCGAAGGCGAGUCCCUGGACAACUCCUGACGCUGAGGCACGAAAGCUAG